GGAAUGUUGUGUGGCUCAGUGGUAGAGUGUCUGCUUGGCAUGCAGAAGGUCCCAUGUUCAGUCUUUGGCAUCUCCA
This 76-nucleotide transfer RNA is filed under the name Sphaerodactylus townsendi. Its description in RNAcentral is "tRNA-Ala". It matches the Rfam family "tRNA". Rfam says of the family: Transfer RNA (tRNA) molecules are approximately 80 nucleotides in length. Their secondary structure includes four short double-helical elements and three loops (D, anti-codon, and T loops). Further hydrogen bonds mediate the characteristic L-shaped molecular structure. tRNAs have two regions of fundamental functional importance: the anti-codon, which is responsible for specific mRNA codon recognition, and the 3' end, to which the tRNAs corresponding amino acid is attached (by aminoacyl-tRNA synthetases). tRNAs cope with the degeneracy of the genetic code in two manners: having more than one tRNA (with a specific anti-codon) for a particular amino acid; and 'wobble' base-pairing, i.e. permitting non-standard base-pairing at the 3rd anti-codon position. Lineage: Eukaryota; Metazoa; Chordata; Lepidosauria; Squamata; Sphaerodactylidae. The record is from RNAcentral.